AGAGUUGAUAUGGCUCAGGAUGAACGCUAGCGACAGGCUAACACAUGCAAGUCGAGGGGCAGCAUAGAAGUAGCAUACUUGGUGGCGACCGGCGCACGGGUGAGUAACGCGUAUGCAACCUACCUAUCAGAGGGGAAUAACCCGGCGAAAGUCGGACUAAUACCGCAUAAAACAGGGGCACCGCAUGGUGAUAUUUGUUAAAGAAAUUCGCUGAUAGAUGGGCAUGCGUUCCAUUAGGUAGUUGGUGAGGUAACGGCUCACCAAGCCGACGAUGGAUAGGGGAACUGAGAGGUUGGUCCCCCACACUGGUACUGAGACACGGACCAGACUCCUACGGGAGGCAGCAGUGAGGAAUAUUGGUCAAUGGGCGGGAGCCUGAACCAGCCAAGUCGCGUGAAGGAAGAAGGAUCUAUGGUUCGUAAACUUCUUUUGCAGGGGAAUAAAGUGCAGGACGUGUCCUGUUUUGUAUGUACCCUGAGAAUAAGGAUCGGCUAACUCCGUGCCAGCCGCAGC
This 513-nucleotide ribosomal RNA is filed under the name uncultured bacterium. RNAcentral describes it as "bacterial SSU rRNA". It matches the Rfam family "Bacterial small subunit ribosomal RNA", at positions 8 to 518 of the family's 1533-position model. The record is from RNAcentral.